This is a long non-coding RNA of Myotis davidii, 330 nucleotides long. RefSeq lists it as uncharacterized. The record is from RefSeq and is a predicted model, not a curated record. NCBI's taxonomy places the organism in Eukaryota, Metazoa, Chordata, Mammalia, Chiroptera, Vespertilionidae. The transcript is spliced from 2 exons.
CCUCCAGGCACCGACAAGGUACAGCCUGAACAGGAGCGCAGGUUCAUCAGCCACGUGAACUGCAGAGCAUCCCUGAAGAUGCAGGAGGGGAAACACUACCUCAUAUGGGGCCCCUCCUCAGACCUGUGGGGAGAGAAAUCCAACAUCAAGUACAUCAUCAGAAAGGACACCUGGGUAGAGCUGUGGCCUGAAGCGGACGAAUGCCAAGACGAUGAGAACAAGAAGCUGUGCAGGGACCUGGCCAGCUUCAGAGAGAACAUGAUCGUCUUUGGCUGUCCCAACUGAGCCCCCUGCCAGGACACACCCCAAUAAAGCUUCAGUUGUAUUCCA